UGGGGAAUAUUGCACAAUGGGGGAAACCCUGAUGCAGCGACGCCGCGUGAACGAAGAAGGUAUUCGUAUCGUAAAGUUCUGUCCUAUGGGAGGAUAAUGACAGUACCAUAGAAGAAAGCUCCGGCUAAAUACGUGCCAGCAGCCGCGGUAAUACGUAUGGAGCGAGCGUUGUCCGGAAUUAUUGGGCGUAAAGGGUACGCAGGCGGUUUAAUAAGUCGAAUGUUAAAGAUCGGGGCUCAACCCCGCAAAGCAUUGGAAACUGAUAAACUUGAGUAGUGGAGAGGAAAGUGGAAUUCCUAGUGUAGUGGUGAAAUACGUAGAUAUUAGGAGGAAUACCAGUAGCGAAGGCGACUUUCUGGACACAAACUGACGCUGAGGUACGAAAGCGUGGGGAGCAAACAGG
Molecule: ribosomal RNA, 403 nt
Filed under: bacterium
Lineage: Bacteria
Description: partial 16S ribosomal RNA
Rfam family: Bacterial small subunit ribosomal RNA
Source: RNAcentral